GUAGGGGCCAAGCGUUGUUCGGAUUUAUUGGGCGUAAAGAGCUCGUAGGCGGUUCGGCAAGUCAGCUGUGAAAUCUCCACGCUCAACGUGGAGAGGUCAGCUGAGACUGCCGUGACUAGAGUCCGGUAGGGGAGUGUGGAAUUCCCGGUGUAGCGGUGAGAUGCGCAGAUAUCGGGAGGAACACCAGUAGCGAAGGCGGCACUCUGGGCCGGUACUGACGCUGAGGAGCGAAAGCGUGGGGAGCAAACAGGAUUAGAUACCCUGGUAGUCCACGCCGUAAACGUUGGGCACUAGGUGUGGGACUCUAUCGACGGGUUCCGUGCCGUAGCUAACGCAUUAAGUGCCCCGCCUGGGGAGUACGGCCGCAAGGCUA
This 373-nucleotide ribosomal RNA is filed under the name uncultured bacterium. RNAcentral describes it as "bacterial SSU rRNA". It matches the Rfam family "Bacterial small subunit ribosomal RNA", at positions 527 to 896 of the family's 1533-position model. The record is from RNAcentral.